This 496-nucleotide ribosomal RNA is filed under the name uncultured bacterium. RNAcentral's name for it is "partial 16S ribosomal RNA". It matches the Rfam family "Bacterial small subunit ribosomal RNA", at positions 29 to 507 of the family's 1533-position model. The record is from RNAcentral.
AUGAACGCUGGCGGCGUGCCUAAUACAUGCAAGUCGCGCGAACGGACGAGAAGCUUGCUUCUCUGAUGUUAGCGGCGGACGGGUGAGUAACACGUGGAUAACCUACCUAUAAGACUGGGAUAACUUCGGGAAACCGGAGCUAAUACCGGAUAAUAUUUUGAACCGCCUGGUUCAAAAGUGAAAGACGGUCUUGCUGUCACUUAUAGAUGGAUCCGCGCUGCAUUAGCUAGUUGGUAAGGUAACGGCUUACCAAGGCAACGAUGCAUAGCCGACCUGAGAGGGUGAUCGGCCACACUGGAACUGAGACACGGUCCAGACUCCUACGGGAGGCAGCAGUAGGGAAUCUUCCGCAAUGGGCGAAAGCCUGACGGAGCAACGCCGCGUGAGUGAUGAAGGUCUUCGGAUCGUAAAACUCUGUUAUUAGGGAAGAACAUAUGUGUAAGUAACUGUGCACAUCUUGACGGUACCUAAUCUGAAAGCCACGGCUAACUACGUG